Long non-coding RNA from Pseudoliparis swirei, 838 nucleotides. RefSeq lists it as uncharacterized. The transcript has 2 exons. The record is from RefSeq and is a predicted model, not a curated record. Lineage: Eukaryota; Metazoa; Chordata; Actinopteri; Perciformes; Liparidae.
UUACCAGUUUAAUAACAGGUGAUAAUAAUAAACAUAUCUCAUUCAAAUUACGUGACCCGGUCAGGUGACGUCACAGCAAGGGGCGACGUCACAGCAAGGGGCGUGGUCAAAUGGAAGGUUCGGAGUUCCUCCAGAACAUGGAUGUUCCGUUCAGAGAGUCUCACUCACUCAACCGCCUUUCACCAGUGAACACAGAGUUUUCUCUGGACGAAAAGCAACUCAACAAGCACCCAGUGAACAAUAGGGGUGAGCCUGGAGGAGUUCAGCUAGCCGCUGCUGGGGCUGCAGCUUCAUUCUGGUUGCCGUCGGAGAUGAGAAAGACCCUCCCUGCAGGAGGGGCCGGGACUGGACGUGAUGGUCUCCGGAGUGUCUGUGUUGGAUGGGUACCCUAGAACUCGCAGGAAUACAGGACUGGUACCUCUGUAGUAUCCUUAAGAGAGGCAGCGGCUAAAUUCUAUGCUUUACAGAACACGUUAAAUUACUCUAAUACCUAAAGUCAAUAAAACACUGACUGAAUCACUGACUAUACUACUGCUCGCGAUGUGUACUCACACUCAUGGUUUCUAACACCCAGCAUGCAACACUACUGAUCGCGAGCUGUAUUCACACUUAUCAUGGUUUGGAUGUUGCUUGCAGGUUUUCAGAGCUUUCAGGAUAUUCUGCCUUGAUUUUAAUCCAGAACACCCGCACUCCGGCAGAGUUGAAAAGUACGUUUAAGUUUCAUGUUUGUGGUAAAGUUAUCACGUAGCCUCUUGACAUGUGUCAAGAGUAAGAGGCUCAGACGCACAGACGGAUGUAUCCGGUCAUUUUUCAAAAUAAAACACAUUUCCGGCCUUGA